CAGCAGCUUCAGCAGAAGGUCUUCCAUGGUCAACAGAGAUCCUAAAGAUCAAAUGUCUGAUAUUGGGAUGAUGUACCUUGCAAAUAAAGAUGCUAAAAAGGUUAAAA
This is a long non-coding RNA of Oryzias melastigma (Indian medaka), 107 nucleotides long. RefSeq lists it as uncharacterized. The record is from RefSeq and is a predicted model, not a curated record. The transcript is spliced from 2 exons. Lineage: Eukaryota; Metazoa; Chordata; Actinopteri; Beloniformes; Adrianichthyidae.